Molecule: ribosomal RNA, 253 nt
Filed under: uncultured bacterium
Lineage: Bacteria
Description: partial 16S ribosomal RNA
Rfam family: Bacterial small subunit ribosomal RNA
Source: RNAcentral
UACGAAGGGGGCUAGCGUUGCUCGGAUUGACUGGGCGUAAAGGGCGCGUAGGCGGUUCGUACAGUCAGACGUGAAAUUCCUGGGCUCAACCUGGGGGCUGCGUUUGAUACGUGCGGACUUGAGUGCGGAAGAGGGUCGUGGAAUUCCCAGUGUAGAGGUGAAAUUCGUAGAUAUUGGGAAGAACACCGGUGGCGAAGGCGGCGGCCUGGUCCGAUACUGACGCUGAGGCGCGAAAGCGUGGGGAGCAAACAGG